This 1743-nucleotide long non-coding RNA is filed under the name Homo sapiens (human). RNAcentral's name for it is "HSALNT0084906". Lineage: Eukaryota; Metazoa; Chordata; Mammalia; Primates; Hominidae. The record is from RNAcentral.
AAGUUUUUCUUAUAAUUUUUUUCUAUUUGAAUACAUCUUAUUUCAAAAGAGAAUUCUUGCUUUUUAAUUUUGGAUACAGUGUAGGCUAAAUCCAACACUGUGGCAUCUUGACUACGGUGGCCUGCUCAAUUAAUUCUGAACAGUAAAUUGCCUUUUACAGGUCUUCAGGUAGCUGGGUAAGAAGCGGCAAGGCAAACAAAGGGUCCUGGUAAUUGAAAACAACUGGUAAGGAUUGUUUUUCUUUUCUUUCAUGUUCUUCCUAAUUGAUGUGCUGAUUUGUAUAUGAACCUACAGAUGAGUCAAACCUAAGCAUUCGGCAUUGGGAGCACUGUCACUAAAACUGCAGCCUCAUUCAACAACACAUCCUUAUCGAGCACUUGCAGGUACUCCAUUGAAUGUUAGAAAUGCAUUGAUGAUGGAGACACAGCACCGGCUCAUGAGGACCUUCCAGCCUAGGCAGCAGGACUGGACAUACGCACUUUGGUAGAUUUAUUUUUAGAAAUUGGCUUAUGCAAGUGUGGGGCUGGCAAGUCUAACAACUGCAGGGCAGGUCAGGAGGCUGGAGACCCAGGGAAGAGUUGAUGCUGCAGUCUCUAGUCUGAAGGCAGUGCAGAGGCAGAAUUCCCUCUUUCUCGGAGGAUCUCAGGCUUUUUCUCCUAAGUCCUUCAACCAAGUGGAUGAGGCCACCCGCAUUAGAGAAGGGAAAGCUAGCUGAUAUGUUAUGAGGACAUUUGAGCAGCCCCAUGGAGAAGUCCACGUGGAAGGAACUGAGGCCUCUUGCUACCGUUAUGUGAGUGAGCCAUCUUGGAAGCAGAUCCUCCAGCCUGGUUGAUCCUUUGGAUGACUGCAGCCCCAGGUGCCAUCUUGACUACAACAUCAGGAAAGAUUCCAAAUUAGACUCCCCCAUCCCAGGCCUGGCCCAGAGAAAGAGAUGAAAGCUGACACGCAGCUCUCAGAAUCACCCUUGCUAUCAGGUUUGGCUUCUGGAGCUGAUGGGAAUCUGAGAGACGUCAGGGUAGAAGCCGCCUGUCUUGGUGAGCUUCCCGUGCUCAUCUGGCUUUGGGAAAGACUCUCAGCCUCAUUUGCUUAUCCUCCAUCACGGACCAAGCACUUGGUUUGGGAAUAAGGGGCCCUUGGCACUUACUGUUGUGUUCUUGGCCUUUGGGGCCUUGGCCAAGAGUCAGGUGGAAAGAGUUCCACCCUAACAUCUUCUCCUAUGCUUCCUCCCAGAGCAGGGGAUGGGAAAGUAUGGGGAGAAAAAGGCUCCUUAGGGAAUUACUUCAUGUUAAAAAAUAUUUACUAGGCACUUAACACGUACGCAGAAAUUUACCAGUGGCUGAAGUGGGUAAUAGGGAUGUAUCAAUUAACUAAUAAACUAAUUAAUUAGACAAAUGUAUUAGACAUUGACUGUGGGUCAGGCACUGUGCUGAGCAUUGGGGAUAUAGCAAUUAAAAAAAAAAAGCCAUGGCCAGGCACGGUGGCUCACACCUGUAAUCCCAGCACUUUGGGAGGCCAAGGCGGGCAGAUACCUGAGGUCAGGAAUUUGAGACCAGCCUGGCCACCAUGGUGAUACCCUGUCUCUACUAAAAUACACAAAAGAAUUAGCUGGGCAUGGUGGCAUGCACCUGUAAUCCCAGCUACUCAGGAAGCUGAGGCACGAGAAUCGUUUGAACCUGGGAGGUGGAGUUUGCAGUGAGCCAAGAUGGUGCCACUGCACUCCAGCCUGGGUAACAGGGUGAUACC